AGCGAACGCUGGCGGCAGGCCUAAUACAUGCAAGUCGAACGAACUCUUCGGAGUUAGUGGCGGACGGGUGAGUAACACGUGGGAACGUGCCUUUAGGUUCGGAAUAACUCAGGGAAACUUGGGCUAAUACCGAAUGUGCCCUUCGGGGGAAAGAUUUAUCGCCGUUAGAGCGGCCCGCGUCUGAUUAGCUAGUUGGUAAGGGAACGGCUCACCAAGGCGCAGCUCAGGAGCUGGUCUGAGGGGAUGGCCAGCCCCACUGGGACUGAGACACGGCCCAAACUCCUACGGGAGGGAGCGACGGGGAAUCUGGCGCAAUGGGCGAAAGCCUGACGCAGCCAUGCCUCGUGAAUGAUGAAGUUCUUAUGAUUUUAAAAUUCUUUCACCGGGGACGAUAAUGACGGUACCCGGAGAAGAAGCCCCGGCUAACUUCGUGCCAGCAGCCGCAGUAA
This 449-nucleotide ribosomal RNA is filed under the name uncultured bacterium. RNAcentral describes it as "partial 16S ribosomal RNA". It matches the Rfam family "Bacterial small subunit ribosomal RNA", at positions 29 to 523 of the family's 1533-position model. The record is from RNAcentral.